UUAAAGGAAUUGACGGAAGGGCACCACAAGAAGUGGGGCCUGCGGCUUAAUUUGACUCAACACGGGAAACCUCACCAGGCCCGGACACUCGAAGGAUUGACAGAUUGAGAGCUCUUUCUUGAUUGGGUGGGUGGUGGUGCAUGGCCGUUCCCAGUUGGUGGAUCGAUUUGUCUGGUUAAUUCCGAUAACGAACGAGACUCUAGCCUGCUAACUAGGCGAUACCGGCAUCCUUGGCGCAGCCGGCGACACUAAAUCUUCUUAGAGGGACAGGCAGCUUCUAGCUGCACGAGAUUGAGCGAUAACAGGUCUGAGAUGCCCUUAGAUGUUCUGGGCUGCACGCGCGCCACACUGAAGGGAUCAGUGUGUGUUUUCCUAGCCCGAGAGGGCCGGGUAACCCGUUGAACCCCUUUCGUGCUAGGGAUUGGGGCUUGCAAUUUUUCCCCACCAACGAGGAAUUCCCAGUAAGUGCGAGUCACUCAGCUCGCGUUGAUUACGUCCCUGCCCUUUGUCCACACCGCCCGUCGCUACUACCGAUUGAAUGAUUCAGUGAGGUCUUCGGACCAGUGCGCGGCUUCGCCUCGGCGUGGCCGAUGCUACCGGGAAGAUGACCGAACUCGAUCAUUUAGAGGAAGUAAAAGUCGUAACAAGGUUUCC
This 654-nucleotide ribosomal RNA is filed under the name Kevanacla orientalis. RNAcentral describes it as "bacterial SSU rRNA". It matches the Rfam family "Eukaryotic small subunit ribosomal RNA", at positions 1144 to 1804 of the family's 1831-position model. Lineage: Eukaryota; Metazoa; Arthropoda; Insecta; Orthoptera; Phalangopsidae. The record is from RNAcentral.